RNAcentral lists this ribosomal RNA (250 nucleotides) under uncultured bacterium. RNAcentral describes it as "partial 16S ribosomal RNA". It matches the Rfam family "Bacterial small subunit ribosomal RNA", at positions 524 to 773 of the family's 1533-position model. The record is from RNAcentral.
UACGUAGGGGGCAAGCGUUGUCCGGAUUUACUGGGUGUAAAGGGUGCUCAGGUGGUUGUGUAAGUCAGAGGUGAAAUGCUGCAGCUUAACUGCGGAACUGCCUUUGAUACUAUACAGCUUGUGUACGGAAGAGGAUGAUGGAAUUCCUGGUGUAGCAGUGAAAUGCGUAGAUAUCAGGAAGAACACCAGUGGCGAAGGCGGUCACCUGGUCCGUUACAGACACUAAAGCACGAAAGCGUGGGGAGCAAAC